This 206-nucleotide ribosomal RNA is filed under the name uncultured bacterium. RNAcentral's name for it is "partial 16S ribosomal RNA". It matches the Rfam family "Bacterial small subunit ribosomal RNA", at positions 568 to 774 of the family's 1533-position model. The record is from RNAcentral.
AGCGUAGACGGUGUGGCAAGUCUGAUGUGAAAGGCAUGGGCUCAACCUGUGGACUGCAUUGGAAACUGUCAUACUUGAGUGCCGGAGGGGUAAGCGGAAUUCCUAGUGUAGCGGUGAAAUGCGUAGAUAUUAGGAGGAACACCAGUGGCGAAGGCGGCUUACUGGGCACCAACUGACGCUGAGGCACGAAAGCGUGGGAGCAAACA